CUGCAUGAUGGAAGCUGUUGUUCUUCUUUCUUCCAUGGAGAAUGAACAUUCCUUCAAUGCUAUAAAAAUAAUGAGUUGUCAGGGCCGCCAGCCUUGGAGUAGAGGCUGAGUGGUAGUAUGUUUCUCAUACAUUA
Small nucleolar RNA from Eublepharis macularius, 134 nucleotides. RefSeq annotates it as small nucleolar RNA U109. The record is from RefSeq and is a predicted model, not a curated record. NCBI's taxonomy places the organism in Eukaryota, Metazoa, Chordata, Lepidosauria, Squamata, Eublepharidae. The transcript has a single exon.